RNAcentral lists this transfer RNA (78 nucleotides) under bacterium. RNAcentral describes it as "tRNA-Arg". It matches the Rfam family "tRNA". From Rfam's summary of the family: Transfer RNA (tRNA) molecules are approximately 80 nucleotides in length. Their secondary structure includes four short double-helical elements and three loops (D, anti-codon, and T loops). The record is from RNAcentral.
GGGCCCGUGGGGUAGCCAGGACUAUCCUGUGGGCUUGCGGAGCCCAUGACCCGGGUUCGAAUCCCGGCGGGCCCGCCA